Molecule: ribosomal RNA, 690 nt
Filed under: Fusarium acuminatum
Lineage: Eukaryota; Fungi; Ascomycota; Sordariomycetes; Hypocreales; Nectriaceae
Description: SSU rRNA
Rfam family: Bacterial small subunit ribosomal RNA
Source: RNAcentral
UUUAGUCAAUGGCCUAACGGCUGAACUGGCAACUUGGAGAAGUGGCAAGUCUUCCAGUAUGGGGAGCAAACAGCUAUGGGUCAAGCCCGACAUCUUUAGGAGAAGUCUUAUUGUGAGGGCGAGUUGUAAAACACCAUAGGGCUGGCCGUCCCAUAUGAAAAGAUUUUAUUAGAAUUGAAUGAAACUUUGUUUAUAUAUUGAUAAUGACAGUAUAUAUAUCGUGUCUUGACUAAUUGCGUGCCAGCAGUCGCGGUAAUACGUAAGAGACUAGUGUUAUUCAUCUUAAUUAGGUUUAAAGGGUACCCAGACGGUCAAUAUAGCUUAUAAAAUGUUAGUACUUGACUAGAGUUUUAUGUAAGAGGGCAGUACUUGAGGAGGAGAGAUGAAAUUUCGUGAUACCAAAGGGACUCUGUAAAGGCGAAGGCAGCCCUCUAUGUAAAAACUGACGUUGAAGGACGAAGGCACAGAGAACAAACAGGAUUAGAUACCCAAGUAGUCUUUGCAGUAAAUGAUGAAUGCCAUAGGUUAGAUUAAUAGUUAAUGUAUAUAGGCUAGUAUAAUAGACUAUACAUUAAAAAUUAUUUGGUCUAUAAAUGAAAGUGUAAGCAUUUCACCUCAAGAGUAAUGUGGCAACGCAGGAACUGAAAUCACUAGACCGUUUCUGACACCAGUAGUGAAGUAUGUUAUUUA